Molecule: ribosomal RNA, 252 nt
Filed under: uncultured bacterium
Lineage: Bacteria
Description: partial 16S ribosomal RNA
Rfam family: Bacterial small subunit ribosomal RNA
Source: RNAcentral
UAGGGCGGACCGGGACCGGCACCGGGUGAGUAACGCGUAUCCACCCGGCCGAUGACUCGGGGAUAGCCUUUCGAAAGAAAGAUUAAUACCCGAUGGCAUAGUUCUUCCGCAUGGUAGAACUAUUAAAGAAUUUCGGUCAUCGAUGGGGAUGCGUUCCAUUAGUUUGUUGGCGGGGUAACGGCCCACCAAGACUACGAUGGAUAGGGGCUCUGAGAGGAAGGUCCCCCACAUUGGAACUGAGACACGGUCCAA